This 253-nucleotide ribosomal RNA is filed under the name uncultured bacterium. Its description in RNAcentral is "partial 16S ribosomal RNA". It matches the Rfam family "Bacterial small subunit ribosomal RNA", at positions 524 to 776 of the family's 1533-position model. The record is from RNAcentral.
UACGUAGGGGGCUAGCGUUGUCCGGAAUCAUUGGGCGUAAAGAGCGUGUAGGCGGACCGGUAAGUCCGUUGUGAAAGUCAGGGGCUCAACCCUUGAAUGCCGGCGGAUACUGUCGGGCUAGAGUCCGGAAGAGGCAAGUGGAAUUCCCGGUGUAGCGGUGAAAUGCGCAGAUAUCGGGAGGAACACCGAUGGCGAAGGCAGGUCUCUGGGCCAUAACUGACGCUGAGAAGCGAAAGCAUGGGGAGCGAACAGG